CGUGGACUGAUCGUCAAUCAACGACAAAUGGUUGUAAAAAAAACUAUUAGAAACGGAGUAUAUCUCUACAAUACAGCGAGAAUAUCCCCCACCCGGAGGCAUAGAUUUCUCAAAAAAUCUCUGACAUAGAAAGAUGAAUUCAAAUAGGCUUGUAUUAUAAACAGUUAGUUUAAUCUUGUAACCAAAAAUUCAUAGUGUUUGGACUAUGAAAAACAAAUAUUUGCUAUUUCAUCACAAAACUACGGAAGCGUAUUAGCGCCACACAUUUUUUUUUAUUUUUAUGCCCCACCUACGAUAGUAGAGGGGCAUUAUGUUUUCUGGUCUGUGCGUCCGUUCGU
This 338-nucleotide long non-coding RNA is filed under the name Mytilus galloprovincialis (Mediterranean mussel). Lineage: Eukaryota; Metazoa; Mollusca; Bivalvia; Mytilida; Mytilidae. The record is from RNAcentral.